RNAcentral lists this ribosomal RNA (498 nucleotides) under uncultured bacterium. Its description in RNAcentral is "bacterial SSU rRNA". It matches the Rfam family "Bacterial small subunit ribosomal RNA", at positions 15 to 507 of the family's 1533-position model. The record is from RNAcentral.
GAUCAUGGCUCAAAUUGAACGCUGGCGGCAUGCCUCCUUUUGCAAGUCGAACGGCAGCGCGGGUGCUUGCACCUGGCGGCGAGUGGCGAACGGGUGAGUAAUACAUCGGAACGUGCCCUAAAGUGGGGGAUAACUAGUCAAAAGAUUAGCUAAUACCGCAUACAAUCUACGGAUGAAAGUGGGGGACCGCAAGGCCUCAUGCUCCUGGAGCGGCCGAUGUCUGAUUAGCUAGUUGGUGGGGUAAUGGCCUACCAAGGCAACAAUCAGUAGCUGGUCUGAGAGGACAACCAGCCACACUGGGACUGAAACACGGCCCAAACUCCUACGGGAGGCAGCAGUGGGGAAUUUUGGACAAUGGGGGCAACCCUGAUCCAGCAAUGCCGCGUGUGUGAAGAAGGCCUUCGGGUUGUAAAGCACUUUUGUCAGGAACGAAACGGUGGGGGCUAAUACCUUCUGCUAAUGACGGUACCUGAAAAAUAAGCACCGGCUAACUACGUG